Molecule: unclassified non-coding RNA, 716 nt
Filed under: Hevea brasiliensis (rubber tree)
Lineage: Eukaryota; Viridiplantae; Streptophyta; Magnoliopsida; Malpighiales; Euphorbiaceae
Source: RNAcentral
UCCUCAAUACCUUGACUACGGUUUGCAUUCGAGUUUUCGUUCGUUGGUGAAAGUCGUCCAUCUUCACUCAUAUCAUCCAAGUCGCUGCCCCUGGAAAGGUAAUACUUUCCUUUCGCUGGCAUUUUCUCGCGUCCAAACGUUAUGUGUUUAAAUAAGUAUUUUUCGUUGAUUUAUCUCUGUUUCUUCUUCGUUUCAACCUUAUGGAUUUGGGUUGAUGAUUCAGCUGGCAAUUGUGGUCGUUUAGAGUCGUUUCCUUACCUGUUUAAACUUUCAUGUUUGAAUAUUUCCAUCCUCUAUUGGUUUUAGCUGUAUACGGGAGUUGGGAUUUAUGAAUCGUCUAAAUCUUUAGAGUAAAGGAUUUGUGUCAUGACCCAAAAUGAGCCGUGAGUGGCACCCACAUUUACGUGGGCGAACCAACACAUUUAAACCCCAACAUAUACCAACAGUUCAACUAUAAAUAAUAUAAAUAAUGCGGAAGCUCCAAAACUCAUUAACGAUACCAAUUAAAUCAACUUCUAAAGUUAAAUACUUAUUAUUCCCAAAAUUUGGAAGUCAUCACACCAAGAACAUCUAUCCUCGAAUUUCUAAAUCUAAGAGUAUUUAAGAAGCUAAAAAUAGUAAAAAGAUAGUCCAUGUCCUAACUUCAAGACAUCACGACGUGAAGGAGAGAAUCCAGCACGAGCUAGGAAUAAUAGCUCACCCUGAAAUCUGAUGUG